Molecule: ribosomal RNA, 697 nt
Filed under: bacterium SVAL1.3
Lineage: Bacteria
Description: bacterial SSU rRNA
Rfam family: Bacterial small subunit ribosomal RNA
Source: RNAcentral
UGCAGUCGAACGGACCCUUCGGGGUUAGUGGCGGACGGGUGAGUAACACGUGGGAACGUGCCUUUAGGUUCGGAAUAGCUCCUGGAAACGGGUGGUAAUGCCGAAUGUGCCCUUCGGGGGAAAGAUUUAUCGCCUUUAGAGCGGCCCGCGUCUGAUUAGCUUGUUGGUGGGGUAAUGGCCCACCAAGGCUACGAUCAGUAGCUGGUCUGAGAGGAUGACCAGCCACAUUGGGACUGAGACACGGCCCAAACUCCUACGGGAGGCAGCAGUGGGGAAUCUUGCGCAAUGGGCGAAAGCCUGACGCAGCCAUGCCGCGUGUAUGAUGAAGGUCUUAGGAUUGUAAAAUACUUUCACCGGUGAAGAUAAUGACUGUAGCCGGAGAAGAAGCCCCGGCUAACUUCGUGCCAGCAGCCGCGGUAAUACGAAGGGGGCUAGCGUUGCUCGGAAUUACUGGGCGUAAAGGGAGCGUAGGCGGACAUUUAAGUCAGAGGUGAAAUCCCGGAGCUCAACUCCGGAACUGCCUUUGAUACUGGGUGUCUUGAGUGUGAGAGAGGUAUGUGGAACUCCGAGUGUAGAGGUGAAAUUCGUAGAUAUUCGGAAGAACACCAGUGGCGAAGGCGACAUACUGGCUCAUUACUGACGCUGAGGCUCGAAAGCGUGGGGAGCAAACAGGAUUAGAUACCCUGGUAGUCCACGC